GUUCACUGCCGUACAGGUAGCUUAGAAA
This is a non-coding RNA of Methylomicrobium album BG8, 28 nucleotides long. Lineage: Bacteria; Pseudomonadati; Pseudomonadota; Gammaproteobacteria; Methylococcales; Methylococcaceae. The record is from Rfam.